GUGCUCACUUAGGCAACACAUACACUAAAAUUAGAACAAUACAUAGAAGAUUAGCAUGACCCCUGUGCAAAGAUGACACACAUUUGUGAAGCAUUCCAUAUUUUU
This 105-nucleotide small nuclear RNA is filed under the name Dasypus novemcinctus (nine-banded armadillo). The record is from RNAcentral. Lineage: Eukaryota; Metazoa; Chordata; Mammalia; Cingulata; Dasypodidae.